This 1396-nucleotide ribosomal RNA is filed under the name metagenome. RNAcentral describes it as "bacterial LSU rRNA". It matches the Rfam family "Bacterial large subunit ribosomal RNA", at positions 1537 to 2925 of the family's 2925-position model. The record is from RNAcentral.
AAAAUCCGGGGGGCUUAGCUGAGGCGUGAUGACGAGGCGCUACGGCGCUGAAGUGAUUGAUACCAAGCUUCCAGGAAAAGCCACUAAGCUUCAGUCUAGAGUUGACCGUACCGCAAACCGACACAGGUGGGCAGGAUGAAAAUUCUAAGGCGCUUGAGAGAACUCAGGAGAAGGAACUCGGCAAAUUAACACCGUAACUUCGGGAGAAGGUGUGCCCCGGUAGCGUGUAGAGACUUGCUCUCGAAGCGCGAUGGGGUUGCAGUGAAAUGGUGGCUGCGACUGUUUAAUAAAAACACAGCACUCUGCAAACACGAAAGUGGACGUAUAGGGUGUGACGCCUGCCCGGUGCCGGAAGGUUAAUUGAUGGGGUGCAAGCUCUUGAUCGAAGCCCCGGUAAACGGCGGCCGUAACAAUAACGGUCCUAAGGUAGCGAAAUUCCUUGUCGGGUAAGUUCCGACCUGCACGAAUGGCGUAACGAUGGCCACACUGUCUCCUCCUGAGACUCAGCGAAGUUGAAAUGUUUGUGAAGAUGCAAUCUACCCGCGGCUAGACGGAAAGACCCCAUGAACCUUUACUGUAGCUUUGCAUUGGACUUUGAACCGGUUUGUGUAGGAUAGGUGGGAGACUGUGAAGCCGGGACGCUAGUUUCGGUGGAGUCAACCUUGAAAUACCACCCUGAUUUGUUUGAGGUUCUAACCUUGGUCCUUGAAUCCGGAUCGGGGACCGUGCAUGGUAGGCAGUUUGACUGGGGCGGUCUCCUCCCAAAAGGUAACGGAGGAGUACGAAGGUACGCUUAGGGCGGUCGGACAUCGCCCACAAAGUGCAAUGGCAAAAGCGUGCUUGACUGCGAGACCCACAAGUCGAGCAGGUACGAAAGUAGGUCAUAGUGAUCCGGUGGUUCUGUAUGGAAGGGCCAUCGCUCAACGGAUAAAAGGUACUCUGGGGAUAACAGGCUAAUUCCUCCCAAGAGUUCAUAUCGACGGGGGAGUUUGGCACCUCGAUGUCGGCUCAUCACAUCCUGGGGCUGUAGUCGGUCCCAAGGGUAUGGCUGUUCGCCAUUUAAAGUGGUACGCGAGCUGGGUUUAAAACGUCGUGAGACAGUUUGGUCCCUAUCUGCCGUGGGCGCUGGAAAUUUGAAGGGGGCUGCUCCUAGUACGAGAGGACCGGAGUGGACGAACCUCUGGUGUACCGGUUAUGACGCCAGUCGUAUUGCCGGGUAGCUAAGUUCGGAAGAGAUAAACGCUGAAAGCAUCUAAGCGUGAAACUCGCCUUAAGAUUAGAUUUCCCGGAGUCUUGAACUCCCUGAAGGGUCGUCGAAGACCACGACGUUGAUAGGUCAGGUGUGGAAGCGCAGUAAUGCGUUAAGCUAACUGAUACUAAUUGCCCGUGCGGCUCG